This 497-nucleotide ribosomal RNA is filed under the name uncultured bacterium. RNAcentral describes it as "partial 16S ribosomal RNA". It matches the Rfam family "Bacterial small subunit ribosomal RNA", at positions 28 to 507 of the family's 1533-position model. The record is from RNAcentral.
GAUGAACGCUGGCGGCGUGCCUAAUACAUGCAAGUCGAGCGAACAGACGAGGAGCUUGCUCCUCUGACGUUAGCGGCGGACGGGUGAGUAACACGUGGAUAACCUACCUAUAAGAUUGGGAUAACUUCGGGAAACCGGAGCUAAUACCGGAUAAUAUAUUGAACCGCAUGGUUCAAUAGUGAAAGACGGUUUUGCUGUCACUUAUAGAUGGAUCCGCGCCGCAUUAGCUAGUUGGUAAGGUAACGGCUUACCAAGGCGACGAUGCGUAGCCGACCUGAGAGGGUGAUCGGCCACACUGGAACUGAGACACGGUCCAGACUCCUACGGGAGGCAGCAGUAGGGAAUCUUCCGCAAUGGGCGAAAGCCUGACGGAGCAACGCCGCGUGAGUGAUGAAGGUCUUCGGAUCGUAAAACUCUGUUAUUAGGGAAGAACAUAUGUGUAAGUAACUAUGCACGUCUUGACGGUACCUAAUCAGAAAGCCACGGCUAACUACGUG